This 1367-nucleotide ribosomal RNA is filed under the name uncultured bacterium. RNAcentral describes it as "bacterial SSU rRNA". It matches the Rfam family "Bacterial small subunit ribosomal RNA", at positions 28 to 1381 of the family's 1533-position model. The record is from RNAcentral.
GACGAACGCUGGCGGCGUGCCUAAUACAUGCAAGUAGAACGCUGAAGGAGGAGCUUGCUUCUCUGGAUGAGUUGCGAACGGGUGAGUAACGCGUAGGUAACCUGCCUGGUAGCGGGGGAUAACUAUUGGAAACGAUAGCUAAUACCGCAUAACAGUAGAUGUUGCAUGACAUUUGCUUAAAAGGUGCAAUUGCAUCACUACCAGAUGGACCUGCGUUGUAUUAGCUAGUUGGUGGGGUAACGGCUCACCAAGGCGACGAUACAUAGCCGACCUGAGAGGGUGAUCGGCCACACUGGGACUGAGACACGGCCCAGACUCCUACGGGAGGCAGCAGUAGGGAAUCUUCGGCAAUGGACGGAAGUCUGACCGAGCAACGCCGCGUGAGUGAAGAAGGUUUUCGGAUCGUAAAGCUCUGUUGUAAGAGAAGAACGAGUGUGAGAGUGGAAGGUUCACACUGUGACGGUAUCUUACCAGAAAGGGACGGCUAACUACGUGCCAGCAGCCGCGGUAAUACGUAGGUCCCGAGCGUUGUCCGGAUUUAUUGGGCGUAAAGCGAGCGCAGGCGGUUAGAUAAGUCUGAAGUUAAAGGCUGUGGCUUAACCAUAGUACGCUUUGGAAACUGUUUAACUUGAGUGCAAGAGGGGAGAGUGGAAUUCCAUGUGUAGCGGUGAAAUGCGUAGAUAUAUGGAGGAACACCGGUGGCGAAAGCGGCUCUCUGGCUUGUAACUGACGCUGAGGCUCGAAAGCGUGGGGAGCAAACAGGAUUAGAUACCCUGGUAGUCCACGCCGUAAACGAUGAGUGCUAGGUGUUAGACCCUUUCCGGGGUUUAGUGCCGUAGCUAACGCAUUAAGCACUCCGCCUGGGGAGUACGACCGCAAGGUUGAAACUCAAAGGAAUUGACGGGGGCCCGCACAAGCGGUGGAGCGUGUGGUUUAAUUCGAAGCAACGCGAAGAACCUUACCAGGUCUUGACAUCCCUCUGACCGCUCUGGAGAUAGAGCUUUCCUUCGGGACAGAGGUGACAGGUAGUGCAUGGUUGUCGUCAGCUCGUGUCGUGAGAUGUUGGGUUAAGUCCCGCAACGAGCGCAACCCCUAUUGUUAGUUGCCAUCAUUCAGUUGGGCACUCUAGCGAGGCUGCCGGUAAUAAACCGGAGGAAGGUGGGGAUGACGUCAAAUCAUCAUGCCCCUUAUGACCUGGGCUACACACGUGCUACAAUGGCUGGUACAACGAGUCGCAAGCCGGUGACGGCGAGCUAAUCUCUUAAAGCCAGUCUCAGUUCGGAUUGUAGGCUGCAACUCGCCUACAUGAAGUCGGAAUCGCUAGUAAUCGCGGAUCAGCACGCCGCGGUGAAUACGUUCCCGGGCCU